Long non-coding RNA from Marmota flaviventris (yellow-bellied marmot), 1395 nucleotides. RefSeq lists it as uncharacterized. Lineage: Eukaryota; Metazoa; Chordata; Mammalia; Rodentia; Sciuridae. The record is from RefSeq and is a predicted model, not a curated record.
GGAGCCAUGGAAACCCCUCAGGAGACCCAAAGGGGGCCCCCCAGGCUUCUGGUUGAGCAGUGUGGAGGUACCAUUUGUGGAGGAUGGGGGCUGCGUGUUGGGGAGCCACUCACCUUUCCAGGGGAUGCCCUCUGAAACAUCCCGGGAUGUAGCCGGCAUGUCCUUGGACACAUCUGACCUGGAGCCAGGGCUCCUGGGCGUGUCCCUGGGGACAAGGUCCCCCUGCAGUCACCGCUGUGGGAGCAUCAGGGAGAAGUCUCAGGCUGUGUGCGGGGCUCAGGCCCGCUUGGUCCCAGUCUCUGCUCCUGUUGCAGGAACACAGCCAGCCAGCGUGCCGCUUCCGGGAGCAUCCGUGCCCCUCCUCCCCCGCUAUCUCCCAUCUCUCAUCCACACAGGACGAUGAUGGCUAGGCCGAGCAGGCACUGCCAAAUCAGACGCAGCCUUUCAGAGACGGCGUCCUAUUUUGAAGUCUGUUUACUCUACAAAAAUUAAUCUCUUUGGUGCCUGGAGGAGGAAGGUGCAUGUCAAACGAAGCCAGCUCUGGAUCCCACUGCUCUCCAGCCCAGGGUCAUUUCAAGGGCCCAAGGAGAGACUGCAGGCAAAAGUGUCUGGGAAUCAGAAGGAAAAAUGCAGUUUUCUCCAUUCCUUUUUAUUCCAUUAAGGAGAAGAUCUCGUUUGGCCAAGGUGUAACCACAGCACUGUGCGGCUGUCACCGCUCACUGGGGCUGAGACACCCCAUCCUCCAGGGCCUGGUGGUCCAAGCUCACCUUCGUCUCUGGAUUUUCCUACUCUGGACGUUUCAUAGAGUACAUGUCACAGGAAUUGUCUGUGUGACCUGGGUGCCAGGUCUCUGUCACCACAUGCCUUGGGUUCAUCCAUGCCACAGCAUGAGUCGUGCCUCUCACCUUUUCAUGGCUGAAUUAUAUUCCAUGGAAACCACGGAAUAUAAUUCAUCUGUCUAUCCCCUGAUGGACAUUUGGGCUGUUACUAUCUUUUGGCAAUUAAGGAUUGUGCCCCCAUGAAUGUCAGUGUGCAAGAAUGUGUCUGAACGUCUAUUUCAAUUCUAUGGGCUACAUACUUAGAAGUGGAAUUUCUGGGUCAUAUGGUGAUCCUAUGCUUACAUUUUUGGGGAAUGGAUCUCUCCUGUUCUAAUCAAGCGAGAGCUCGUCAGGAUUCAGACCUUCAUUGGAGAGAGCGUUCAGAAGAAGUUUGCAGAACUCUUGAUUUCUAACGGCCCCACGAAGUCCAUGCUGGAUUUUCAUCUGUAGGAGCAGCACAAUAUUUUUUUAAAAAUAAGCGUUACUGUAGCCAGACGUGGUGGUGCGUGCUGGUGAUCCCAGCAACUCAGGAGGCGGAGGCAUCGCAAGUUUGAGAACAGCCCCAGCAAUUGAGUGA